CCUGCCCCGGAGCGGGGGAUAACCCGGCGAAAGCCGGACUAAUACCGCGUAUAUAUCCAGGAGGCAUCUUCUGGAUAGGAAAGGACUUCGGUCCGCUCCGGGAUGGGCAUGCGGCGCAUUAGGCAGACGGCGGGGUAACGGCCCACCGUACCGACGAUGCGUAGGGGUUCUGAGAGGAAGGCCCCCCACACUGGUACUGAGACACGGACCAGACUCCUACGGGAGGCAGCAGUGAGGAAUAUUGGUCAAUGGGCGAGAGCCUGAACCAGCCAAGCCGCGUGAGGGAAGAAGGCGCUCAGCGUCGUAAACCUCUUUAGCCGGGGGACAAAACCUCCUCGCGAAGGAGGCUUGAGAGUACCCGGAGAAUAAGCAUCGGCUAACUCCGUGCCAGCAGCCGCGGUAAUACGGAGGAUGCGAGCGUUAUCCGGAUUUAUUGGGUUUAAAGGGUGCGCAGGCGGACAUUCAAGUCUGCGGUCAAAUUCCGGGGCUCAACCCCGGCCAGCCGUGGAAACUGAAUGACUUGAGUGGGCGAGAGGUAUGCGGAAUGCGCGGUGUAGCGGUGAAAUGCUUAGAGAUCGCGCAGAACUCCGAUUGCGAAGGCAGCAUACCGGCGCCUUACUGACGCUCAGGCACGAAAGCGUGGGGAUCGAACAGGAUUAGAUACCCUGGUAGUCCACGCAGUAAACGAUGAAUGCUGGUUGUUCGGGCCGACUGAGGCCUGAGUAACGUAGUGAAAACGUUAAGCAUUCCACCUGGGGAGUACGCCGGCAACGGUGAAACUCAAAGGAAUUGACGGGGGCCCGCACAAGCGGAGGAACAUGUGGUUUAAUUCGAUGAUACGCGAGGAACCUUACCCGGGCUCAAACGGGAGCGGACGUGCGGAGAAAUCCGCAUUUCUUCGGACCGCUUCCGAGGUGCUGCAUGGUUGUCGUCAGCUCGUGCCGUGAGGUGUCGGCUUAAGUGCCAUAACGAGCGCAACCCCUGCGGACAGUUGCCAUCAGGUAGAGCUGGGCACUCUGUCCGGACUGCCGGCGCAAGCCGUGAGGAAGGCGGGGAUGACGUCAAAUCAGCACGGCCCUUACGUCCGGGGCUACACACGUGUUACAAUGGGCGGCACAGCGGGAAGCCAGGUGGUGACACCGAGCAGAACCCGAAAGCCGUUCUCAGUUCGGAUCGGAGUCUGCAACCCGACUCCG
Molecule: ribosomal RNA, 1196 nt
Filed under: human gut metagenome
Description: bacterial SSU rRNA
Rfam family: Bacterial small subunit ribosomal RNA
Source: RNAcentral